AAUAAUUUAAAAAAAUUAAAAUCAAAUUUCCUUACGUACACUGCUAUCUUUUAUGGAAAUUAGAUUAUUUUAAAAUUAUAAAGAUUAUUUCAACAAGAUGGCAAAUUCCGGAAAUCAAAAUGAAAACAAAGCUUCCGAUUUUAUACCUGUAGUUUAUAAAUUUCGUGUCCAACCAAAAACCAGGGGUAAAACAUAUGCUCUUCAACAACCAUUUGCUACUUUAUGGGAUAAUUUAAUUACAGUAUUGUGGUCAGUAUAUAGUAAAGAACGAAAAAUUCAAAUUGGAAUAACUCAAUUGCAGUGGGCACUUGAAUUUAUGAAAUGUAUGAAAGUAGACCACGGUUAUCCAGAAAGUAUAGAAAAAAUUGUGGGUGAACUUGAAGAUCAUUUAAUAGGACUUUAUGCUAAAGUAGGGCAAAAAUUACAGGAUAUUAAGGAAAAAAAAGCACAAAAGGAAAAACAACAAAAAGAAACAGAUGAAAAUGAACAAGAUUAUGUAGUGACUGAUGAUUGUAAUUCUUACAACGAAAUGGAUAUAAUGAAAAAAAUAGAAAAUUUAAAACUACCUAUUGACUCAGAAACUGGCGAGGUAAAAUACUUGUCAGCAUUAAAUUCAUUGGGGAAGAAGAAAACUAGGAAUGAUGACUGUACAUCCGACCGAAAAGAUUUAAAAAGCUUCACUGUGUUUUGUUUCGGAACCAAGUUGUUAUUAUGAGUUGGGUGGUUAGCCCUACGUCAACCCCCAUUAAUCUUCAAGUUUUGAAGAAUUUCUCCUCCCUCUUUAUUGGUUACAUUACUGGAACCAGUAAGGGGCUAUUGCCGUGUUUUCCACAUCGGGCGAUGGGAGCGCCACUUUUCCUACACCAUUACCUAUUGGAAUCGUCCACCUGGGACUUUCUGCCAGUAGGAGCUCGGGACCCCAGGUUCGCUACGCCGAUUCUCUAAAUAAUGAAUAUGUGAUUGAUAAAUUAAAAAAGGCGUUGAGCAAGACAACGGAUGACGCUAAAAAUGCAGCAGUAGAAGACUUAAUCAAACAACUUGGGAAAAAUAAAAAGUAAAUCCACCUAAG
Molecule: RNA transcript, 1069 nt
Organism: Daktulosphaira vitifoliae (grape phylloxera)
Lineage: Eukaryota; Metazoa; Arthropoda; Insecta; Hemiptera; Phylloxeridae
Exons: 7
Source: RefSeq, a predicted model, not a curated record